ACGGCUCAGUAACACGUGGAUAACCUGCCCUCAGGUCCGGCAUAACCUCGGGAAACUGAGGAUAAUUCCGGAUAUCCCUUUUCUGCUGGAAGGCUUAAAGGGACAAAGAAUUUCGCCUGAGGAUGGGUCUGCGGCCUAUCAGGUUGUAGGGGGUGUAACGUACCCUCUAGCCGACAACGGGUACGGGUUGUGAGAGCAAGAGCCCGGAGAUGGAUUCUGAGACAUGAAUCCAGGCCCUACGGGGCGCAGCAGGCGCGAAAACUUUACAAUGCAGGAAACUGUGAUAAGGGAACACCGAGUGCUCGCAUCAAAUGCGGGCCGUCCACAUACCUAAAUCGUAUGUGUUAGCAAGGGCCGGGCAAGACCGGUGCCAGCCGCCGCGGUAAUACCGGUGGCCCGAGUGGUAGCCGCUUUUAUUGGGUCUAAAGGGUCCGUAGCCUGUCUGAUCAGUCCAUUGGGAAAUCCGGAUGCUCAACAUCCGGGCUUCCAGUGGAUACUGUCAGACUUGGGAUCGGGGGAGGUAAGAGGUACUACA
RNAcentral lists this ribosomal RNA (535 nucleotides) under uncultured euryarchaeote. RNAcentral describes it as "bacterial SSU rRNA". It matches the Rfam family "Archaeal small subunit ribosomal RNA", at positions 85 to 622 of the family's 1478-position model. Lineage: Archaea; Methanobacteriati; Methanobacteriota. The record is from RNAcentral.